AUGGAAGAAGCAUAUGUGAAUCCAAAAAAGAGAAGGCAGAUAACUGGAAUUACCAACAAACAUCACUAUCAAGUUGAUUGCUUCAAUGAUGUUUUUGAUUGGCUAGUUCAAGAGCUUGACAAUAGGUUCAGUGAGACAUCCUCUAACUUGCUUGUUUGGUCAGCAGCUUUGAGUCCAAGACUCAUUUCGUGA
This 192-nucleotide ribosomal RNA is filed under the name Triticum aestivum (bread wheat). Its description in RNAcentral is "partial small subunit ribosomal RNA". The record is from RNAcentral. Lineage: Eukaryota; Viridiplantae; Streptophyta; Magnoliopsida; Poales; Poaceae.